CUACGUAGGUGACAAGCGUUAUCCGGAUUUACUGGGCGUAAAGGGCGUGUAGGCGGUCUUGCAAGUCAGAAGUGAAACUCCUGAGCUCAACUCGGGCGCUGCUUCUGAAACUGCAGGACUUGAGUGCUGGAGGGGAUAGCGGAAUUCCUAGUGGAGCGGUAAAAUGCGCAGAUAUUAGGAAGAACACCGGUGGCGAAGGCGGCUAGCUGGACAGAAACUGACGCUGAGGAGCGAAAGCGUGGGGAGAAAAAAGGAUUAGAUACCCUGGUAGUCCACGCCGUAAACGAGGAAUACUAGGUGUAGGGGGUAUCGACUCCCUCUGUGCCGCAGUUAACACAAUAAGUAUUCCGCCUGGGGAGUACGGCCGCAAGGUUGAAACUCAAAUGAAUUGACGGGG
RNAcentral lists this ribosomal RNA (397 nucleotides) under uncultured bacterium. RNAcentral's name for it is "partial 16S ribosomal RNA". It matches the Rfam family "Bacterial small subunit ribosomal RNA", at positions 523 to 918 of the family's 1533-position model. The record is from RNAcentral.